UCCCGUCCGACCUCGAGGCGA
Molecule: unclassified non-coding RNA, 21 nt
Filed under: Chlamydomonas reinhardtii
Lineage: Eukaryota; Viridiplantae; Chlorophyta; Chlorophyceae; Chlamydomonadales; Chlamydomonadaceae
Description: small RNA Cre_2565
Source: RNAcentral